This is a long non-coding RNA of Cucumis melo (muskmelon), 1639 nucleotides long. RefSeq lists it as uncharacterized. Lineage: Eukaryota; Viridiplantae; Streptophyta; Magnoliopsida; Cucurbitales; Cucurbitaceae. The record is from RefSeq and is a predicted model, not a curated record. The transcript is spliced from 6 exons.
CUUUACUCUUUUCUCAAACCCUCCCCACACUAUUUUUCAUCUUUCUCAAAUUUCUUUCACCCUUCUCAAUCUCGAUCACUUUCUUCCCUCUCUUCUUCGAUAGCUGCUCAAUCUCAUCACUUUCCGACCGGCUCUACCACUUACUUGAACUACUUGACCACCGCAACCACCGGCACAGCCCAUGUCGAACUUCCGUCUUCACUAUCGCUUCUUUUCAGUUACUCUUUAUCUUCUUCUCCUUUCAUUUUCUCUCUCUUUCAGCCAUUCGCAGGACGUUGAUGAUGAAUCCGAUCAAGAUUCUCUGGUCUCUCGCUUUCAAUGCUACCUCAGAAUCUAAACCGCACAUCCAGAUCCCGAUUACGCCUCCGCCGUCGCCUUCCUCAGAUCUCAAGCACAAGAAAUCGGUCUCCAUACGCAGGCACUCGAGUUUGGUCCAGGUAAGCCUCUUCUUCUUGUGACUUGGUAUGGGUCAUACGCAGGCACAGAAGUCGCCUCCGCUAAUCCUCCAUCUCCCAGACCUGUAGCAGCCAACCGCGCGCAGCCAUCUGAGCCGAUUGUUGUGACGAAGGUGGAUACUGAAAUACAGCUGGUGCGGAAGGUGGAAGAGGUUAGCGAUAGUGAUGGCGAUGGCGAUGUAGAGAGUGCCGAUGGCAGUAAGGUUGGGCGAGGACGGAAGUUGAUGGAGAGAGUAUGAUUUUGGUUAUGGCGGUAUAUUAUGCAUUGAGGUGGUCUGUACAUCCAUGAAAAGUAAGGAACUAUCAUUAUUUUAUGUUGUUCCAUUGUUAGCCGAGCACAUCUAUGGAGGAACUCUGUUAGCCAUGUGUACCAAUGAUUUUAUAUGUUUCUAUGAUUGGGCAGAGGGCAGACUGAUCCGCCGUAUUGAUGUAAAUGUGAAGAACCUUUAUUGGGCUGAUAGUGGUGAUUUGGUGGCAAUAGCCAGUGAUACAUCAUUUUAUAUCCUGAAGUACAAUGUAAGAAUACUUGUUAAAUAACAUCAUAAUUUCAGGUAACCACAAUGUUCCAUUUGGAUCGACCCAUGUAUUUGCUUGGAUAUCUUGCCAGCCAAAGUCGGGUCUAUUUGAUAGACAAAGAGUUCAAUGUCGUUGGAUACACAUUGAAGUGUUAAGACCCUUGUAAUGCGUGGGGACUAUGAAAGAGCCAACGAAAUCUUACCUUCAAUUCCCAAGGAGCAUCGUAACAGUGUGGCCCGUUUCUUGGAAGCACGAGGUAUGAUAGAGGAAGCUCUGGAAGUAGCUACUGAUCCAGAGGAGUAUCCUAAUUUGUUUAAUGAUUGGCAAGUUGCACUUUCUGUUGAAUCUAGAGCUGCACAAGACAGGGAGUUAUCACUAAAAAAAUGACUGCAAUAGAAGAAAUGGUUGCAAGUGAGUAAAAUUAGCCAGACCCUCAUCUUUGUGACAAGAUCUUGAAGUUAGUCAUUUGUGAAGCGUUCUAGUUUGCUAUUAGUUGCAGUUUUAGUUAUUGCUCUCUCAAUAUAUUCUUUUUCUUUUUUUUUUUCAAAGGAUGAUCGGUGUAAUAAUUAAGCUUCAUAAUUUCUGUGUUUGGAUCCAAGUUGUAUAUAAAUGUACACAUUAUUAAGAUUUCAUUUUGUAUAUGUACAAGUAAAAGAUUUCAUUUUUAA